This 253-nucleotide ribosomal RNA is filed under the name uncultured Leucobacter sp. RNAcentral's name for it is "partial 16S ribosomal RNA". It matches the Rfam family "Bacterial small subunit ribosomal RNA", at positions 524 to 776 of the family's 1533-position model. The record is from RNAcentral. Lineage: Bacteria; Bacillati; Actinomycetota; Actinomycetes; Micrococcales; Microbacteriaceae.
UACGUAGGGUGCAAGCGUUGUCCGGAAUUAUUGGGCGUAAAGAGCUCGUAGGCGGCUUGUCGCGUCUGCUGUGAAAUCCCGGAGCUCAACUCCGGGCGUGCAGUGGGUACGGGCAAGCUAGAGUGCGGUAGGGGAGAUUGGAAUUCCUGGUGUAGCGGUGGAAUGCGCAGAUAUCAGGAGGAACACCGAUGGCGAAGGCAGAUCUCUGGGCCGCUACUGACGCUGAGGAGCGAAAGCAUGGGGAGCGAACAGG